Molecule: transfer RNA, 87 nt
Filed under: Planctomycetota bacterium
Lineage: Bacteria; Pseudomonadati; Planctomycetota
Also listed under: 1 other name
Description: tRNA-Leu
Rfam family: tRNA
About the family: Transfer RNA (tRNA) molecules are approximately 80 nucleotides in length. Their secondary structure includes four short double-helical elements and three loops (D, anti-codon, and T loops).
Source: RNAcentral
GCCCGGGUGGCGGAAUUGGUAGACGCGCAUGGUUCAGGUCCAUGUUCCCGCAAGGGAGUGGGGGUUCGACUCCCCCCCCGGGCACCA